Molecule: microRNA precursor, 97 nt
Filed under: Phlebotomus papatasi
Lineage: Eukaryota; Metazoa; Arthropoda; Insecta; Diptera; Psychodidae
Description: microRNA mir-286
Source: RNAcentral
AAGACUCUUUCAGUGACGUGUUUGGCGCUUUUACUAACAAUUUUACUAAAAUUGUUUUCACUAAAAGCGCCAAACACGUCACUGAAAGAGUCUUAGU